This 930-nucleotide long non-coding RNA is filed under the name Sinocyclocheilus grahami. Its description in RNAcentral is "lncRNA (ENSSGRG00000006856.1)". Lineage: Eukaryota; Metazoa; Chordata; Actinopteri; Cypriniformes; Cyprinidae. The record is from RNAcentral.
AGCCUUUAUUCACAUUUAACACAACAAAUAUACCCUGCGGUCCAAUGUGCAUACUAUCCACCCUAUCUGCCCUAAAUCAAGUAUUGAAAAUGACUAAUAUCACAUAGAAUUUAGGAUGAGCGCAGUUUUUCAUCCGCUCCACGAGGCGGCGGAAGUGCUUUCAGAGACUUCGGAUCCUCGACAACAUGAAACUGAUCAGAUGUAGAAACCUCGGAAGAACACGGCACAGUAAGGCAUGUGUUUGGACAGAAGCAGAGCUCUGGGACGUGUGGACAGACUUUGACUGUAAUGAUGGACGUCUGCUCAAGGACAGACAGAAAAAGACAUUCUCCUGCGUCCUGAGUUAGAAGAGGUCAUGGCCAGUCACCCGACAUGUUUUAAGCUGUGGUACACCAUCGACAGGGAUCCAGACGGUAAAAAUGUGUUGAUUUACAGAUGCUGUUUAGCCAAAUCACCAACCUCAGUUUAGGUGACUUACUCCAGUUCAACCAGACAUUAAUAAUCAAACAAAAGAUAACAAGCAGAAGUCAUUAACUUGAGGUGUGUGCUAGGAAGAGAGUACAGCCAAGGCUUCAUCACUGAGAACACGAAGAACCUCCUUCCUCCAUCUGCAGAUGACACACUUCCCAUGAUGCAGUUCACCUACAAACCUGUAUUUCUUGAUCCUUGUCCAGCACCUUAUUUAAUCCAUCUGAUACAAAUCAGCAGAUUUUCAGAGAGCCAAAUGAACUGAACUGUCUGUCAGAUAAGAGACAUAAAUGAGAGUUGAGCAAAUUAUUGUUAUUUACCAAAUGUUGCACUGAUGAGAUUCAGUUCUAAGCGUGGGUUUAAAUAAAAACAAUAUGUAUAUGCCCUAUCUUUUGAAGGGCAAAUAAUUUAUCAUUGGACUUUUAAUUAUUUCAGCUCAUUUUUAUGACCUGCUUGCAGUUC